AUUGAACGCUGGCGGCAUGCCUUACACAUGCAAGUCGAACGGUAGCACGGGUGCUUGCCCCUGGUGGCGAGUGGCGAACGGGUGAGUAAUACAUCGGAACAUGUCCUGUAGUGGGGGAUAGCCCGGCGAAAGCCGGAUUAAUACCGCAUACGAUCUACGGAUGAAAGCGGGGGACCUUCGGGCCUCGCGCUAUAGGGUUGGCCGAUGGCUGAUUAGCUAGUUGGUGGGGUAAAGGCCUACCAAGGCGACGAUCAGUAGCUGGUCUGAGAGGACGACCAGCCACACUGGGACUGAGACACGGCCCAGACUCCUACGGGAGGCAGCAGUGGGGAAUUUUGGACAAUGGGCGAAAGCCUGAUCCAGCAAUGCCGCGUGUGUGAAGAAGGCCUUCGGGUUGUAAAGCACUUUUGUCCGGAAAGAAAUCCUUGGCCCUAAUACGGUCGGGGGAUGACGGUACCGGAAGAAUAAGCACCGGCUAACUACGUG
RNAcentral lists this ribosomal RNA (486 nucleotides) under uncultured bacterium. RNAcentral's name for it is "partial 16S ribosomal RNA". It matches the Rfam family "Bacterial small subunit ribosomal RNA", at positions 30 to 507 of the family's 1533-position model. The record is from RNAcentral.